Long non-coding RNA from Chelonia mydas (Green sea turtle), 185 nucleotides. RefSeq lists it as uncharacterized. NCBI's taxonomy places the organism in Eukaryota, Metazoa, Chordata, Testudines, Cheloniidae. The record is from RefSeq and is a predicted model, not a curated record. The transcript is spliced from 3 exons.
UAGGUCAGUGCUACUCAAAGUGGUGGUCCGCGGACCGGUGCCGCUCCACGAGCCAUCAGCUGGCGGUCUGCGCGCACAUUGGAAAAAAAUUGCCGGUCCCCCACAUCAGAUAGCUUGAGAAGCACUGCUCUAGGUGAUAGCAAGGGGUUGGACUACAUGACCUCCUGAGGUCCCUUCCAACCCUG